Pogoniulus pusillus (Red-fronted tinkerbird) is the source of this 568-nucleotide long non-coding RNA. RefSeq lists it as uncharacterized. The transcript has 2 exons. Lineage: Eukaryota; Metazoa; Chordata; Aves; Piciformes; Lybiidae. The record is from RefSeq and is a predicted model, not a curated record.
AUGGCAAGUGGAGAUUAACUAUUGACUUUAGAAAACUCAAUAAUAACACUCUUCCUCUCACUGCAGCAGUUCCAAGUUUAUCUUCCACAGUGACAGCCAUUCAAGCAGCUUCUCACGCCUGGAUGGCAACUAUGGAUGUGAAGGACAUGUACUUCAUGGUGCCACUGAGAGAAGAGGACAAACCACAGUUUGCAUUCACCUGGCAAGCAACCAGCUCAAGACUGCACCGUUCCGGACAAGGGCCCGAUCCUUACGAGCCCCGGGAGUCAGCAUGCAGCUCGACCGGACCCGUGGAGCCUCGGACAACGUGCCUUAAAAUCCAUAAAGACUUUGAAACUUCUCUGAACUGCAUUUGGGACAGUGAGUAAUUGAUAAACUUCUAUUUGAAACUGAAUAACUUCUCAAGACUUCAAUGAACUCUCUCAUAUCAUAAACUCUCUUCAUUUUAGUCAUUCUGUAUAUUAAAUCUCAACUACGAACCAAGAAUCUACGCGGGAUAAUUACAAAUAAGUUUGGGGAAGGGGAUUUCUAGUGUAUAAUAUUAAAUUACUUAUACCUUUUUAUAAAA